AUUUUCCCACAGGUACAGGCUGGUAAAAUCAAUAUGAUCUCAUUGUGGGUGUUCUCUGUCAGGAUCAACAAGAUGGGAAACUUUAAACUGAUUCAUUGCUGUACCUUACAAAAAACCACAUGUGACUUCUCUGCUAAUUGUUGUUACAAAACUAACAGGAGUUUAGGAAUGGGUCCAUAGCUAAAGGAUAUCUUCAGUCAUGAGCUGAUUAUAUGAGGAUUUAUCCUGUCCAGGGGAAUAGCAUAGAAGAAGAAGAAACAGCACUGUGAAAAAGAGAGAAAAUAUUAUUUUUUAUUUUACAUUUACAAUUGUGUUGAGGUUUGAUUCAAUAUGACAACCUAAUUUUAUUCUUUCUGAUUCUUUAGUUUGAUAUUGUUUUCUUGAUUUUUAUCUUUUUUCAUCUGCACACUAGUCCACAUUAAAAAUAAAAUCAGUGUCAUAUUCUGCUGUA
Molecule: long non-coding RNA, 451 nt
Organism: Erpetoichthys calabaricus (reedfish)
Lineage: Eukaryota; Metazoa; Chordata; Cladistia; Polypteriformes; Polypteridae
Exons: 3
Source: RefSeq, a predicted model, not a curated record